Non-coding RNA from Jatropha curcas, 722 nucleotides. NCBI's taxonomy places the organism in Eukaryota, Viridiplantae, Streptophyta, Magnoliopsida, Malpighiales, Euphorbiaceae. The record is from RefSeq and is a predicted model, not a curated record.
UCUUUCAAAUGGAAAUCUCCAAAUGACAGAUUAUGUUAGUAAAAAAGCUGCCGUUUUCUCUUUAAUACUCAAAUGGAUUCUUAAGAUUGCAAUGUUGGCAGCUUUCAUUGCUUGGCUUACUGUUGUUUUCAUGUAUCCGAUAGAGUCACUUCAAACAUGGUUUAAAAAUUGGACUCAAGCCUCUGCUGAUUCUUUUCUUGGCUUUACAGGAGGUGUAUUUCUGAUAUUCAAUGGGCCACUCAUCAUUAUUGCAUUACUUUCUAUACCAUACCUUACCCUUUGCUCCAGGGAAGAGGAGCUCCAAAAGUAUGUUUUUAGCUACACACAAUUCAUUAGGACAAAAUUUCCUAUGUUUUUAUGUCAACUUCAUCUUAAUUUCUUAUGGUAUUGGGAGUUAGAAUGCAGGGAGAGGGAGUAGGGUUUUCAGUGUGCCACUGUGUUCUGAUUCGUUUUUUCUGGGUUUGAAUAGUUACAUUGACAAAGAUAAAGGGGGGCAGGGGGCCUUUUCCCCAAGCUUCCUAAUGAAAUAGUCUCUACUGCAAUGAAUCAUGAGCCCUAAGGAUAGACAUUUGGCAAGCAGAUAUCAAAGCACACUGAAAGUCCUUUAACUCCCAACCUGCACCUGCAAAUGAAGAUUUAUGCUUGAAAGAUGCAUUUGUACUACCAUUAUAAAAAUCCCACAGCAAGCCUUUUCAAUAAAACAGCUCGAGCAUUUCUAUUCA